GCCUGACUUCUGGAUCUAUACUGACCAUCAGGCCUGCAGCAGCACAGGAAUGUAGAAACUAAAAAUGGGGUCGGAGACAGAAAGUCCAUACGUUCCUGGCCACCACGGUGUCACUGCUCCCAAUACAGGUGUAACCUGAGUCCCCACUUGGGAGCCAGAAAUCAGCUGAGAAGAGACUUCAGGAGAGAGCAGCCCCAGGCGGAGGUGGAGGAAGUGGGGGGCCUCAGCUCCGCUCACCCCAUCUAGCUCGGUUUGCACUGAAGGGUUUGGGGAGGAAAUUUCAUAUUAGAGUUGUUAGAUACUGCAGUAUUCCCUGCCAGCCCACUCAGUGAGGAAAGUCUGUGGACGUACCUCUGGAUUGGGGUCAGAGGAACCAAGACGGUGUCUACUAAGGUAGGUUUUAUGUCACCGACUGGGAAACACAGAGGGCCACAUGAUAGGCUGGGUGUGGUGGCUCAUGUUUGCAGUCCUAGCAGUGGGGAGGCUGAGAGGAUUACAGUGCCUUUGAGGUCUGUCUGGGCUCCAGUAUGACAUCG
This 536-nucleotide long non-coding RNA is filed under the name Cricetulus griseus (Chinese hamster). RNAcentral's name for it is "lncRNA (ENSCGRG00015041668.1)". Lineage: Eukaryota; Metazoa; Chordata; Mammalia; Rodentia; Cricetidae. The record is from RNAcentral.